Molecule: ribosomal RNA, 253 nt
Filed under: uncultured bacterium
Lineage: Bacteria
Description: partial 16S ribosomal RNA
Rfam family: Bacterial small subunit ribosomal RNA
Source: RNAcentral
UACAGAGGUCCCGAGCGUUGUUCGGAUUCAUUGGGCGUAAAGGGUGCGUAGGCGGUCCGCGAAGUCUGAUGUGAAAGCCCCGGGCUCAACCUGGGAACUGCAUUGGAAACUAACGGGCUCGAGUGUGGCAGAGGGGGGUGGAAUUCCGCGUGUAGCAGUGAAAUGCGUAGAGAUGUGGAGGAACACCGAUGGCGAAGGCAGCCCCCUGGGCUAACACUGACGCUCAGGCACGAAAGCGUGGGGAGCAAACAGG